This 329-nucleotide unclassified non-coding RNA is filed under the name soil metagenome. Its description in RNAcentral is "partial contains 5.8S ribosomal RNA, internal transcribed spacer 2, and large subunit ribosomal RNA". The stretch from base 1 to 120 matches the Rfam family "5.8S ribosomal RNA", at positions 35 to 154 of the family's 154-position model. The record is from RNAcentral.
GAUGAAGAACGUAGCGAAAUGCGAUAAGUAGUGUGAAUUGCAGAAUUCAGUGAAUCAUCGAAUCUUGGAACGCACAUUGCGCCCCUUGGUAUCCCGAGGGGCAUGCCUGUUCGAGCGUCAUUUCACCACUCAAGCCUGGCUUGGUGUUGGGCGACGUCCUCUUUGGGGACGCGCCUCGAAACGCUCGGCGGCGUGGCACCGGCUUUAAGCGUAGCAGAAUCUUUCGCUUUGGAAGUCGGGGCCCCGUCUGCCGGAAGACCUGCUCGCAAGGUUGACCUCGGAUCAGGCAGGGAUACCCGCUGAACUUAAGCAUAUCAAUAAGCGGAGGA